RNAcentral lists this ribosomal RNA (367 nucleotides) under uncultured organism. Its description in RNAcentral is "bacterial LSU rRNA". It matches the Rfam family "Bacterial large subunit ribosomal RNA", at positions 2099 to 2465 of the family's 2925-position model. The record is from RNAcentral.
CUUUACUGUAACUUGAAAUUGAAAUUGGACUUUAGUUGCGCAGGAUAGGUGGGAGGCGUUGAGAAUACUCUUGCGGGAGUAUUGGAGCCAUCAGUGAGAUACCACUCUUCUAAUGUUAGAUUUCUAACUUUGGAUCAUUAUCUGGUCAAAGAACAGUUUCAGGCGGGCAGUUUGACUGGGGCGGUCGCCUCCUAAAGGGUAACGGAGGCGUACAAAGGUUUCCUCUGAACGAGUAGAAAUCGUAUCUAGAGUGUAAAGGCAUAAGGAAGCUUGACUGUGAGACCUACAAGUCGAGCAGGGACGAAAGUCGGUCUUAGUGAUCUGACGGUGCUGAGUGGAAAGGCCGUCACUCAACGGAUAAAAGUUA